UCCCUGGCAGUAUAUCGGUUAGUACACGCGCCUGUCAUAAACACUACUUCUCGUAGUACGCGCGAAAGCUGGGUUCAACUCCCAGCCAGGGAG
Marasmius sp. AFHP31 is the source of this 93-nucleotide non-coding RNA. The record is from the annotation of a GenBank genome assembly. NCBI's taxonomy places the organism in Eukaryota, Fungi, Basidiomycota, Agaricomycetes, Agaricales, Marasmiaceae.